RNAcentral lists this ribosomal RNA (433 nucleotides) under uncultured bacterium. Its description in RNAcentral is "partial 16S ribosomal RNA". It matches the Rfam family "Bacterial small subunit ribosomal RNA", at positions 29 to 507 of the family's 1533-position model. The record is from RNAcentral.
AACGAACGCUGGCGGCAUGCCUAACACAUGCAGGUCGAACGAGACCUUCGGGUCUAGUGGCGCACGGGUGCGUAACGCGUGGGAACCUGCCCUUAGGUUCGGAAUAACUCCCCGAAAGGGGUGCUAAUACCGGAUAAUGUCUUCGGACCAAAGAUUUAUCGCCUUUGGUUGGGCCCGCGUUGGAUUAGCUAGUUGGUAGGGUAAAAGCCUACUAAGGCGACGAUUCAUAGCUGGUCUGAGAGGAUGAUCAGCCACACUGGGACUGAGACACGGCCCAGACUCCUACGGGAGGCAGCAGUGGGUAAUAUUGGACAAUGGGCGAAAGCCUGAUCCAGCAAUGCCGCGUGAGUGAUGAAGGCCUUAGGGUUGUAAAGCUCUUUUACCCGGGAUGAUAAUGACAGUACCGGGAGAAUAAGCUCCGGCUAACUCCGUG